CACAGGCUGUUCCCUUCAGACCCUGCUGCUGAGCUAGGGAAGACCCUGGGCCAGGAGAAACCUGACCUGGAGGAAGGACUGGGGCUACCAGGACUGCCAGCUGCCGAGUACCUGGAGGAGCCAGGCAGUAACCCAGGCCAGUGUGAGCCUGACACGGAGGGGGAGCUGGAGCUGCCAGCAGCUGAAUACCCUGACGAGCUGGAGGGACCAGAGGGACCCGCUCAAGAGACCGGGUACCAUUGCGGAGAGUGGACCAGAGCUUCGCGAACCAGCUGAGCGGCGGCUGAGCAGCGGGGAACAGCAGAGCAGCACACAGCAGGAGUUUGCCUGGGAUUGGACAGAAGCAACUUUGUCUGUACAAAGUGCAAGCUGGUCUCCAUAUUGGAAGAGAAGAUUGAAGGUCUGGAGCAACAGAUAACGACCCUGCAUUGCAUACGAGAAACGGAGGAUUUUCUGGACAAAAGUCAGGAUAUACUUCUACAGGCACAAAGCUCUAAAGAUUUAGAGCAGGUUGCACAGCGGAGCCAAGAGGCCAGUGAAGAAGCUUGGCAACAUGUGACCUCCAGAAGAAGAAGGGGGAAUGUCCGGGUUCCAGCAACGCGGACAGGUAACUAACCGCUUUCAUCUUCUCUCCACAGGUACCAUUGCGGAGAGUGGACCAGAUGAGCGGUGAAGCUAUUACCAGCAGGAGAGUGGGGUGGGGGGAGAGAAAACCUUUUGUAGUGGUAAACACCCAUUUUUUCAUGAUUUGUGUGUAUAAAAACAAACAUCUUCUGUAUUUUCCACAGUAUGCAUCCGAUGAAGUGAGCUGUAGCUCACGAAAGCUUAUGCUCAAAUAAAUUGGUUAGUCUUUAAGGUGCCACAAAUACUCCUUUUCUUUUUGCGAAUACAGACUAACACGGCUGUUACUCUGAAACCUUUCAAAUAGCGAAUUACUUUUAGACUUCAGCCUUGUGCAUAUUACCCCACAACUGCUGUACUGAACUAAAAUAUCAUUCCUUUGUUGAAGAAAUGCAUAGUUUAAGUUUCGACAAGAAGAUCAGAGUGGACAUUUCCCAGUGGCUGGAGAGGAUACCACCAAGAGAGAUGCUAUUAUACAACAUGUUGAAUUCUCUUGCUGUCCCCAGUAUCAUCCAGCUCUUCUAAUGGAA
Molecule: long non-coding RNA, 1151 nt
Organism: Caretta caretta (loggerhead turtle)
Lineage: Eukaryota; Metazoa; Chordata; Testudines; Cheloniidae
Source: RefSeq, a predicted model, not a curated record